RNAcentral lists this ribosomal RNA (489 nucleotides) under uncultured bacterium. RNAcentral's name for it is "partial 16S ribosomal RNA". It matches the Rfam family "Bacterial small subunit ribosomal RNA", at positions 29 to 506 of the family's 1533-position model. The record is from RNAcentral.
AGUGAACGCUGGCGGCAGGCCUAACACAUGCAAGUCGAACGGCAGCACAAGAGAGCUUGCUCUCUGGGUGGCGAGUGGCGGACGGGUGAGGAAUGCAUCGGAAUCUGCCCAUUUGUGGGGGAUAACCUCGGGAAACCGGGGCUAAUACCGCAUACGACCUACGGGUGAAAGCAGGGGAUCUUCGGACCUUGCGCAGAUGGAUGAGCCGAUGCCGGAUUAGCUAGUUGGAGGGGUAAAGGCCCACCAAGGCGACGAUCCGUAGCUGGUCUGAGAGGAUGAUCAGCCACACUGGGCCUGAGACACGGCCCAGACUCCUACGGGAGGCAGCAGUGGGGAAUAUUGGACAAUGGGCGCAAGCCUGAUCCAGCCAUGCCGCGUGUGUGAAGAAGGCCUUCGGGUUGUAAAGCACUUUUGUUGGGAAAGAAAAGCAGCCGGUUAAUACCCGGUUGUCAUGACGGUACCCAAAGAAUAAGCACCGGCUAACUUCGU